UUGGCCUUAUUUAUUUCUUCUUCAACCAAUUUAUAGUUAUCCCAAAACAAAGAUUCCAACCAAUAUUUCUUACUUAACUGCUUUUCUUGACUCAAUCAUCCAUCCUACCUCUUGAAUUGACUAUCUUAUGGAUGAUUAAAUAAUUUUACCAAUAUCUAACUAAUAUUCUACAAAAACGAAUUUCUAUCCAUUCUACAUAGUCCCACUUUUAACUCUGUAGCAUCCUUGCAAACACGAAAUUGGUAAAAAA
This 250-nucleotide long non-coding RNA is filed under the name Physcomitrium patens. Its description in RNAcentral is "long non-coding RNA (PPAT_LNC005389)". The record is from RNAcentral. Lineage: Eukaryota; Viridiplantae; Streptophyta; Bryopsida; Funariales; Funariaceae.